GAAGAUGCAGUGUACCCGCGGCAAGACGGAAAGACCCCGUGAACCUUUACUAUAGCUUGACACUGAACAUUGAGCCUUGAUGUGUAGGAUAGGUGGGAGGCUUUGAAGUGUGGACGCCAGUCUGCAUGGAGCCGACCUUGAAAUACCACCCUUUAAUGUUUGAUGUUCUAACGUUGACCCGUAAUCCGGGUUGCGGACAGUGUCUGGUGGGUAGUUUGACUGGGGCGGUCUCCUCCUAAAGAGUAACGGAGGAGCACGAAGGUUGGCUAAUCCUGGUCGGACAUCAGGAGGUUAGUGCAAUGGCAUAAGCCAGCUUGACUGCGAGCGUGACGGCGCGAGCAGGUGCGAAAGCAGGUCAUAGUGAUCCGGUGGUUCUGAAUGGAAGGGCCAUCGCUCAACGGAUAAAAGGUACUCCGGGGAUAACAGGCUGAUACCGCCCAAGAGUUCAUAUCGACGGCGGUGUUUGGCACCUCGAUGUCGGCUCAUCACAUCCUGGGGCUGAAGUAGGUCCCAAGGGUAUGGCUGUUCGCCAUUUAAAGUGGUACGCGAGCUGGGUUUAGAACGUCGUGAGACAGUUCGGUCCCUAUCUGCCGUGGGCGCUGGAGAAUUGAGGGGGGCUGCUCCUAGUACGAGAGGACCGGAGUGGACGCAUCACUGGUGUUCGGGUUGUCAUGCCAAUGGCACUGCCCGGUAGCUAAAUGCGGAAGAGAUAAGUGCUGAAAGCAUCUAAGCACGAAACUUGCCCCGAGAUGAGUUCUCCCUGACUCCUUGAGAGUCCUGAAGGAACGUUGAAGACGACGACGUUGAUAGGCCGGGUGUGUAAGCGCAGCGAUGCGUUGAGCUAACCGGUACUAAUGAACCGUGAGGCUUAACCUU
RNAcentral lists this ribosomal RNA (876 nucleotides) under Escherichia coli. Its description in RNAcentral is "partial 23S ribosomal RNA". It matches the Rfam family "Bacterial large subunit ribosomal RNA", at positions 2055 to 2925 of the family's 2925-position model. The record is from RNAcentral. Lineage: Bacteria; Pseudomonadati; Pseudomonadota; Gammaproteobacteria; Enterobacterales; Enterobacteriaceae.